CGGAAGGCCCCUUCGGGGGUACUCGAGCGGCGAACGGGUGAGUAACACGUGAGCAACCUGCCCCCGACUCUGGGAUAAGCCCGGGAAACCAGGUCUAAUACCGGAUACGACCAUCUCUCUCCUGAGACGAUGGUGGAAAGAUUCAUCGGUUGGGGAUGGGCUCGCGGCCUAUCAGCUUGUUGGUGGGGUAACGGCCUACCAAGGCGACGACGGGUAACCGGCCUGAGAGGGCGACCGGUCACACUGGGACUGAGACACGGCCCAGACUCCUACGGGAGGCAGCAGUGGGGAAUAUUGCGCAAUGGGCGGAAGCCUGACGCAGCGACGCCGCGUGAGGGAUGACGGCCUUCGGGUUGUAAACCUCUUUCAGCAGGGACGAAGCGCAAGUGACGGUACCUGCAGAAGAAGCGCCGGCUAACUACGUGCCAGCAGCCGCGGUAAUACGUAGGGCGCAAGCGUUGUCCGGAAUUAUUGGGCGUAAAGAGCUCGUAGGCGGUUUGUCGCGUCUGUCGUGAAAGCCCACGGCUUAACCGUGGGUCUGCGGUGGAUACGGGCAGACUAGAGGCAGGUAGGGGAGAAUGGAAUUCCCGGUGUAGCGGUGAAAUGCGCAGAUAUCGGGAGGAACACCGGUGGCGAAGGCGGUUCUCUGGGCCUGUACUGACGCUGAGGAGCGAAAGCGUGGGGAGCGAACAGGAUUAGAUACCCUGGUAGUCCACGCCG
Molecule: ribosomal RNA, 720 nt
Filed under: Actinomadura sp. 8-104
Lineage: Bacteria; Bacillati; Actinomycetota; Actinomycetes; Streptosporangiales; Thermomonosporaceae
Description: bacterial SSU rRNA
Rfam family: Bacterial small subunit ribosomal RNA
Source: RNAcentral